This 318-nucleotide long non-coding RNA is filed under the name Homo sapiens (human). RNAcentral describes it as "uncharacterized LOC105377862, transcript variant 5 (LOC105377862)". The record is from RNAcentral. Lineage: Eukaryota; Metazoa; Chordata; Mammalia; Primates; Hominidae.
GUGUUUCCUCAGCUGCAGUGCAAGUGGGGCAUGCUCCGUUGAGACUUUAUUCACUCUGGGCAGUUUGUUGAAGAUUAGGUGGUCAGCUCACAAUGAAUCAUAAGCUGCUUUUGUCCCUUGCUGUCUAUGCUUAGAAGCUAAAAGGUUAAGCAGCGAUGUCAGCGCUAUCAGGGAGCUGUGGAGACUGGAAUUGAAGUUCAGAACCUUUCAUGGGAGACAGCUCAGCUCCGCAGUAGCUUUGAAAACAAGCAGCCCACAAUCAUGCUGACAGCCAGAAGUCUGGCAGACACUGGGAUUGAAAUAUAAUGUUGGAUAUUC